Molecule: long non-coding RNA, 523 nt
Filed under: Mustela putorius furo (domestic ferret)
Lineage: Eukaryota; Metazoa; Chordata; Mammalia; Carnivora; Mustelidae
Description: lncRNA (ENSMPUG00000028862.1)
Source: RNAcentral
CUUUUCUGCACAUAAUCUCUGCCUCAGAGUCUACUUCCCUAGUGGAAUAUAAACUGUUAUGAGCACUUUAUAAAACUGUUGGGAAUACCUUGGUAAAGUUGAAGAUGCCUAAAACUUACAACUUCCAUUCCAGGUCCAGGUGUAUAUACUCGAGCAACUCUCACCCAAAAAUUUACAGUGGGGUUCUUCUUGAUGGAAAGAGAUGAAGAUGUUAUCAGGAAGGUGCCACGUGGCCUUCAAAGCCACAUGGUUUGAGCACAGAUGAUGCUUUAGACACCGGGACCACAAGAGUUGGUGAGGAAAAGAUCCCUUGUUUCCAGAUUGAGGGUAGCAGUCCAGAAAAGCAGACUGACCUGGGGGCAUGAACGACAACCAACCACGAUGUGGACUACCAGUAAACUGACAGCAGAAUUGAGUGUCAAGAUGCUUUUCAACUGUUUUUUGAAAAAGACACCUCUGAAGCUUGCUCUCCAUAAAAGGUCAGUAAUUUCUUACUUUCACCUGUCUUUAAAUAUUCUAAGAC